UACGAAGGGGACUAGCGUUGUUCGGAAUUACUGGGCGUAAAGGGCGCGUAGGCGGCGUGGCAAGUCAUCUGUGAAAUCUCCGGGCUUAACUCGGAACGGUCAGAUGAUACUGCUUUGCUCGAGUGCGGAAGGGGCAAUCGGAAUUCUUGGUGUAGCGGUGAAAUGCGUAGAUAUCAAGAGGAACACCUGAGGUGAAGACGGGUUGCUGGGCCGACACUGACGCUGAAGCGCGAAAGCCAGGGGAGCAAACGGG
RNAcentral lists this ribosomal RNA (253 nucleotides) under uncultured bacterium. RNAcentral's name for it is "partial 16S ribosomal RNA". It matches the Rfam family "Bacterial small subunit ribosomal RNA", at positions 524 to 776 of the family's 1533-position model. The record is from RNAcentral.